This is a non-coding RNA of Epinephelus lanceolatus (giant grouper), 541 nucleotides long. Lineage: Eukaryota; Metazoa; Chordata; Actinopteri; Perciformes; Serranidae. The record is from RefSeq and is a predicted model, not a curated record.
GCAGGUACAACACUGACAGAAACCAGUACAACUCUGCAUACCAGUAGUGUCACAUCUUCACCAGCAGGUGGCAACACAUCUGGAGUCUCCACCAAAAACACUGAUUCCUCCACCAGCUCAGCUUCAGAUGCCCAAACAGUGACAGUUCGCCUAAAAGUUUCUGUUUUAUCCCGUCAUGAGGAAAAAGAUGUCAUUUUAGAGGCUGUAUCUAAUUUUAUAUCCCAGACCCUUCUCCAUCAGAGCUGUGAGGGCUGCACUAUCACACACAUCAAACCCACCUGAGAAAUGAACCAUGAUUCAGCCAAUGGAGGCAACAGUGUGGCUGCAGCUGUACUCCAACAACAGGCUUCACAACUCUCAGAAACAAAACAAUCGUCUCUUAAAACCGAAUAAGCUAUUAAAGAUAUAAUGCAAUGAUCAGUAAAGCCUUAGGUAAUAAACUGAUAUGACUCCACAUAAUUAUUCAGCACUAUCUGUUAAGAGCUGACUAUUAGAGCAGGCCGAGCAGCCAGAAACAGGUCGGGACAGUGCUAUUUGGCUA